GAUGAAGAACGUAGCGAAAUGCGAUAAGUAAUGUGAAUUGCAGAAUUCUGUGAAUCAUCGAAUCUUUGAACGCACAUUGCGCCCGCCAGCAUUCUGGCGGGCAUGCCUGUUCGAGCGUCAUUUCAACCCUCGAGCCCCCCCGGGGGCCUCGGUGUUGGGGGACGGCACACCAGCCGCCCCCGAAAUGCAGUGGCGACCCCGCCGCAGCCUCCCCUGCGUAGUAGCACACACCUCGCACCGGAGCGCGGAGGCGGUCACGCCGUAAAACGCCCAACUUUCUUAGAGUUGACCUCGGAUCAGGUAGGAAUACCCGCUGAACUUAAGCAUAUCAAUAAGCGGAGGA
RNAcentral lists this unclassified non-coding RNA (343 nucleotides) under soil metagenome. RNAcentral's name for it is "partial contains 5.8S ribosomal RNA, internal transcribed spacer 2, and large subunit ribosomal RNA". The stretch from base 1 to 120 matches the Rfam family "5.8S ribosomal RNA", at positions 35 to 154 of the family's 154-position model. The record is from RNAcentral.